ACUCCUACGGGAGGCAGCAGUGGGGAAUUUUGGACAAUGGGGGAAACCCUGAUCCAGCCAUGCCGCGUGAGUGAAGAAGGCCUUCGGGUUGUAAAGCUCUUUCAGCCGGAACGAAACGGUCACGGCUAAUACCUGUGACUACUGACGGUACCGGAAGAAGAAGCACCGGCUAACUACGUGCCAGCAGCCGCGGUAAU
RNAcentral lists this ribosomal RNA (197 nucleotides) under uncultured Nitrosospira sp. RNAcentral's name for it is "partial 16S ribosomal RNA". It matches the Rfam family "Bacterial small subunit ribosomal RNA", at positions 335 to 524 of the family's 1533-position model. The record is from RNAcentral. Lineage: Bacteria; Pseudomonadati; Pseudomonadota; Betaproteobacteria; Nitrosomonadales; Nitrosomonadaceae.